AUCUAUCUGACGAGUCCCAAAUAGGAUGAAACGAGCUUCCUGGAC
RNAcentral lists this non-coding RNA (45 nucleotides) under Schistosoma mansoni. Lineage: Eukaryota; Metazoa; Platyhelminthes; Trematoda; Strigeidida; Schistosomatidae. The record is from RNAcentral.